UACGGAGGGUGCGAGCGUUGUCCGGAAUUAUUGGGCGUAAAGCGCGCGCAGGCGGUCCUUUAAGUCUGAUGUGAAAGCCCACGGCUCAACCGUGGAGGGUCAUUGGAAACUGGGGGACUUGAGUACAGAAGAGAAGAGUGGAAUUCCACGUGUAGCGGUGAAAUGCGUAGAGAUGUGGAGGAACACCAGUGGCGAAGGCGACUCUUUGGUCUGUAACUGACGCUGAGGCGCGAAAGCGUGGGGAGCAAACAGG
Molecule: ribosomal RNA, 253 nt
Filed under: uncultured bacterium
Lineage: Bacteria
Description: partial 16S ribosomal RNA
Rfam family: Bacterial small subunit ribosomal RNA
Source: RNAcentral